Heterocephalus glaber (naked mole-rat) is the source of this 120-nucleotide non-coding RNA. NCBI's taxonomy places the organism in Eukaryota, Metazoa, Chordata, Mammalia, Rodentia, Bathyergidae. The record is from Rfam.
GUCUACGGCUGUACCACGCUGAACGCACCAGAUCUUGUCUGAUCUCAGAAGCUAAGCAGGGCCGGGCCUGGUUAGCAAUGGGGUGGGAGGCAGUGAGGUGAACUCCCCGCGAAGCCUACU